This 490-nucleotide ribosomal RNA is filed under the name uncultured bacterium. Its description in RNAcentral is "partial 16S ribosomal RNA". It matches the Rfam family "Bacterial small subunit ribosomal RNA", at positions 30 to 507 of the family's 1533-position model. The record is from RNAcentral.
AUUGAACGCUGGCGGCAUGCUUUACACAUGCAAGUCGGACGGCAGCACAGAGAAGCUUGCUUCUUGGGUGGCGAGUGGCGAACGGGUGAGUAACAUAUCGGAACGUACCGAGCAGUGGGGGAUAACUAAUCGAAAGAUUAGCUAAUACCGCAUAUUUUCUGAGGAAGAAAGCAGGGGACCUUUGGGCCUUGCGCUGUUUGAGCGGCCGAUAUCUGAUUAGCUAGUUGGUGGGGUAAAGGCCUACCAAGGCGACGAUCAGUAGCGGGUCUGAGAGGAUGAUCCGCCACACUGGGACUGAGACACGGCCCAGACUCCUACGGGAGGCAGCAGUGGGGAAUUUUGGACAAUGGGCGCAAGCCUGAUCCAGCCAUGCCGCGUGUCUGAAGAAGGCCUUCGGGUUGUAAAGGACUUUUGUCAGGGAAGAAAAGGGCGGGGUUAAUACCCCUGUCUGAUGACGGUACCUGAAGAAUAAGCGCCGGCUAACUACGUG